AUUGAACGCUGGCGGCAGGCCUAACACAUGCAAGUCGAGCGAGCGGCGGACGGGUGAGUAAGGGAUGGGGACUGCCGGUAAGCUGGGGAUAAGUGCUGGAUACGGUGGGGAAUAACGUACAAUGUCGGAUACCGCAUAUGGAAUUAGCUAGUAGGUAAGGUAAUGGCUUACCUAGGCGACGAACCCUAGCUGGUCUGAGAGGAUGAUCGGCCACACUGGGACUGAGACACGGCCCAGACUCCUACGGAGGCAGCAGUGGGGAAUAUUGCACAAUGGGCGCAAGCCUGAUGCAGCCAUGCCGCGUGUAUGAAGAAGGCCCUAGGGUUGUAAAGUACUUUCAGUCGGGAGGCGUUACCGACAGAAGAAGCACCGGCUAACUCCGUGCCAGCAGCCGCGGUAAUUC
Molecule: ribosomal RNA, 403 nt
Filed under: uncultured bacterium
Lineage: Bacteria
Description: partial 16S ribosomal RNA
Rfam family: Bacterial small subunit ribosomal RNA
Source: RNAcentral